RNAcentral lists this long non-coding RNA (1661 nucleotides) under Sus scrofa (pig). Its description in RNAcentral is "lncRNA (ENSSSCG00035060344.1)". The record is from RNAcentral. Lineage: Eukaryota; Metazoa; Chordata; Mammalia; Artiodactyla; Suidae.
GGAAGAAUUAAAAAAAAAAAAAAAAAGGACUGGGCAAAACCUGUGUCAUCUGGAAACCUGGCUAAUUUCUAUUCUGAAUUAACUGGAUUUUUCCAGUUUUAUACUCAACUUAAAAAUAAAUAGAUGAAUCAAAAUCAUAUCUAAGAAGUCACUUUGGGAGUUCCCUAUGUGGCUGAGCAGAAAAGUAUCUGACUAGUAACCAUGAGGACGCAGGUUUGAUCCCUGGCCUUGCUCAGUGGGUGAAGGAUCUGGCAUUGCCAUGAGCUGUGGUGUAGGUUGCAGAUGCGGCUCGGAUCUGGUGUUGCUGUGGCUGUGGUGUAGGCCAGUGGCUACAUCUCUGAUUUGACCCCUAACCUGGGAACUUCCAUAUGCUGCGGGAGUGGCACUAAAAAGAAAAAAAAAUUAAUAAUAAUAAAAAAGGUACUUUAUUUGAAUUCAGUAAUUUAAAUAAUUAUAACAUCUUAUAUUUUAACAACUGUGUUCAAAAUGAUAAGUUUCAGAUUAGCCAGAAUGCCCAAUGCCUAAACAUUCUGUAAAAUUGAGGGUAUAAAUAUAAAGAAUAAUUUUAUUUAUAUCCAUGGUACAUAUAUACAUUCAUGAAUGUGCAUACACAUCCAUGUAUAUAUGUAUAAAUAAUUUUAAAAUAUGAAUUUCAACCAAGAUUCUAUAUUGGUAGAUAUCAGAUAUUAAAGUGAUUGAUAAAAUAAAAAAUAAACCAAUUAAAUGAAUACUAUUAAAGAACUUAAUUUUUAAAAAGUGUGUGGGGAAACCACCCAACCUGUAGGAAUCAGAAAAAUAGGCUGAAGAGCAGAUGAAUGAUUCUUAAACCUCUCUAUACUCAAGGAUGUAAAAAAUUCAGGGGUGUGAAAAUUGAAGGUGGAUUUCUGAAGAGGGGGGAGACCUGUUGAUGCACUGAAUUCCUCUAGAAUGGGGGGGUUUCAGUGGGGCCCCCGAAAGUAUGGUCUAUGUGGCCUGCGAGUGGGGGCACGGUGGAGGGUGUUUCUCCACCUGAGAAACAGAAAGGGCGGGUGAGGGCUGCCAGCCAAACCCCGAGGAAGGUGGUUGCCUUGGCUACGCUCAGUCCUGGACUUGGUGCCUAGAGCAUCCAUGUGUGUUUCCGAUGAAGCGAAUCUUCAUGCGCGAGAGAGACAGACAGACAGACAGACACUCACACAUGCAGAUGGAGCCCCCAGAGGCUGUCUGAGACACCUGGAGGACCAGAGCUCAGCAGGGGAGGCUGCAGCUGCAGGCAGCGCUGGAUUCCUGGGGCCGAGAAGGAAGUCCCAACCAGCAGGAAAGACACGAGGCCACCAGGUUGAGGGACUCCAGGUGAGAGAACCACCACAGUAGAGAUGGAAAGGGGACACGUUUUAGACUCCUGAAGGCCCAAGAACCGGCAGUCGGCCUACAACCAUAAGCAAGUAAGAGGUGUUGGCGUUCCCGUUGUGCGUGGUGCAGUGGAAAUGAACCCAGCGAGAAUCCAUGAGGAUGUGGGUUCGAUCCCUGGCCUCGCUCAGGGGUUAAGGAUCCGGUGUUGCCGUGAGCUGUGGUGCAGGUCGCAUGUGCAGCUUCAUUACUGAGUUGCUGUGGCUGUGGUGCAGGCUGGCAGCUCUGAUUAGGCCCCUAGCCUGGGAACCUCCAUAUGCCGUGGGUGUGGCUCU